Molecule: ribosomal RNA, 305 nt
Filed under: uncultured bacterium
Lineage: Bacteria
Description: bacterial SSU rRNA
Rfam family: Bacterial small subunit ribosomal RNA
Source: RNAcentral
UCCUACGGGGCGCAGCAGUGGGGAAUAUUGCACAAUGGGGGAAACCCUGAUGCAGCGACGCCGCGUGGGUGAAGAAGUAUUUCGGUAUGUAAAGCCCUAUCAGCAGGGAAGAAAAAAAUGACGGUACCUGACUAAGAAGCACCGGCUAAAUACGUGCCAGCAGCCGCGGUAAUACGUAUGGUGCAAGCGUUAUCCGGAUUUACUGGGCGUAAAGGGAGCGCAGGCGGCGCGCCAAGUCUGAUGUGAAACCCCGGGGCUCAACUCCGGGCAUGCAUUGGAAACUGGCGGGCUGGAGUGCCGGAGAG